RNAcentral lists this small RNA (80 nucleotides) under Vibrio neptunius. RNAcentral's name for it is "isrK". Lineage: Bacteria; Pseudomonadati; Pseudomonadota; Gammaproteobacteria; Vibrionales; Vibrionaceae. The record is from RNAcentral.
GCACUGGCAAAAUCCGGUGUCGGGAUUGGAACCCUGUUGAACAUUCUACGCAUAGUAGCUAACUGAACUGUUGGCUUUCG